UACGUAGGGCGCGAGCGUUGUCCGGAAUUAUUGGGCGUAAAGAGCGUGUAGGCGGCCCGAUUAGUCCGCUGUGAAAGUCCAGGGCUCAACCCUGGAAUGCCGGUGGAUACUGUCGGGCUAGAGUCCGGAAGGGGCGAGUGGAAUUCCUGGUGUAGCGGUGAAAUGCGCAGAUAUCAGGAGGAACACCAAUGGCGAAGGCAGCUCGCUGGGACGUGACUGACGCUGAGACGCGAAAGCGUGGGGAGCAAACAGG
Molecule: ribosomal RNA, 253 nt
Filed under: uncultured bacterium
Lineage: Bacteria
Description: partial 16S ribosomal RNA
Rfam family: Bacterial small subunit ribosomal RNA
Source: RNAcentral